Molecule: non-coding RNA, 114 nt
Organism: Acanthosepion pharaonis
Lineage: Eukaryota; Metazoa; Mollusca; Cephalopoda; Sepiida; Sepiidae
Source: the annotation of a GenBank genome assembly
UUACGACCAUAUCACAUUGAAACACCGAUUCUUGUGCGAGCACUAAAGUUAAGCAACAUCCAGCCUGGUCAGUACUGAGAAUGGUGACCGUUUAGGAAUACUAGGUACUGUAAG